RNAcentral lists this ribosomal RNA (253 nucleotides) under uncultured bacterium. RNAcentral's name for it is "partial 16S ribosomal RNA". It matches the Rfam family "Bacterial small subunit ribosomal RNA", at positions 524 to 776 of the family's 1533-position model. The record is from RNAcentral.
UACGUAGGGGGCUAGCGUUGUCCGGAAUCAUUGGGCGUAAAGCGCGUGUAGGCGGUCCGGUAAGUCCGCUGUGAAAGUCGGGGGCUCAACCCUCGGAUGCCGGUGGAUACUGUCGGGCUUGAGUACGGAAGAGGCGGGUGGAAUUCCUGGUGUAGCGGUGAAAUGCGCAGAUAUCAGGAGGAACACCAAUUGCGAAGGCAGCUCGCUGGGACGUCACUGACGCUGAGACGCGAAAGCGUGGGGAGCAAACAGG